RNAcentral lists this long non-coding RNA (1546 nucleotides) under Homo sapiens (human). RNAcentral describes it as "long intergenic non-protein coding RNA 919". Lineage: Eukaryota; Metazoa; Chordata; Mammalia; Primates; Hominidae. The record is from RNAcentral.
AGACAACCAAACUCCAUCAAUCAAGAGGAACUUAAUCCAGGGAGGGUUCUUCUGCUCACUGGGUCAGAAGCAUCCGAUUUCCUGUCAUCGGUUGCGGUUCAGCCAUGUUAAUACUGAAAGUAUAAGAAUAUCAUAAUCCCAGAGUGAUAUAAAGACCUUUCCAAGGAAGAUGAGAUACCCGGAGGCUGUGAAGGAGAAGUCUGAAGGAUUUGAACGCGUUCAAAUGAAAACCUUUGGUUCAGCAAAACACCAGAAACAAAUUCAAAAGAUAAAAUACACUCCGGAGAAGCCCAUUCUCUCAACGCAUCUGACAGUUCACAAAGAGCAACUGCAGUCCAACUUAAAAAAUAAAGAAAAUGGUAGGAAAAUGGGCAACAUGCACUGAGGCAAUAUAUAAGAAGAAGGAAUGCGCAAUUAAUCAACAAAAGCCUGCUCUUUCCUAACGAGUGAAGAUACAAGCUUAGUAAAUAUUAAAAUUUAUUGAAGAUAAAAAUGGACACUUCCGGCCAUAUAUAAAAGCAUUGUUGGUAAGAGAGUGGGGUAAUUGACAUGCUCCUGGGAAAUAAUACGCAUUCAGACAACCUCUAAUGAGUGAAUCCACUGGGGGUAUCCACUAGGAAUAGAAAACGACCACCAAUGCCCAAGUUUGUGGUCCAGAAUUUGAGCAGCGAUCUAACAAAGUAGAGUCUCCCCCUGUGUCAUGGGCCCCACUUCUUAAGCAAAGAAGAAUGCCUCAUUUUGGUAACUCACCCAAAUAAACAGAAAUUUUUUUUGAUAAUCUUAUCGCAUUUAUUUGGUUAAGUCUGAGGCAGAAUAUUUUUCUCCUUUGUAUCUUUGUUUUGUUUUGUUUUAAUCCUUGAAGUUUAUUACCAAACUACAUCUUGGUGUUUCUUCAGGAUGUGAACAGGCCUUUCUAUUCUCAAUUAAGUGUUUCUUUCCUUUAAUUCAGGAAUCUUCUAAUCAUGUAUUUUAAUUUCUUUUUCUGUCAUCCCUCCCCACGCCAUAAGCUACCAGUCACUAUACAUGUUGGAGCUCUCUUUAUUGUGCCAUAGAUCUCUGAUGUCAUGUCUUUAGUCAUUAUUUUGUGUCAGAAAUUUUUGUUCUUCCGGGGACAUCUGGCAAUAUCUAGAGACAUGCUACUGGCACCUAUAGAAAUGCUAGUGACUUAUUAUGGGUAGAGGCUAAAGAUGCUGCUAAAUAUCCUACAAUGCCCAGGACAGCCACUGCCACAACAAAGAAUUAUGCAGUCCACAAUGUCCAUAGUGCUAAGGAGAAGAAACCCUGUCCUAGGGUCAAGGUUGGAUGCUGACAAGACUAAUUUCAAGUGAUUUCAAACGAUUGUGGGGAAAAUACCCAGAAGUUGACAGGAGCAAUAUGUAGAUAUUUCCUUCUGUAAAUUAUAUUUCCCUAAUGCUAAUGCUGGAGCAUUUGGAAACACGUGUAUAAAUAUUUGAAGCACAAAACCAGAGAGAUGCUCUUAUGUAUUUAGCUUCUAGUUUUAAAUAAUAGAUACUACAAUAAACCUUGAUUAAACCUUGAUUAUCUG